RNAcentral lists this transfer RNA (56 nucleotides) under Runcina coronata. RNAcentral's name for it is "tRNA-Val". Lineage: Eukaryota; Metazoa; Mollusca; Gastropoda; Runcinacea; Runcinidae. The record is from RNAcentral.
AAAACUAUAGUAUACGUUUUACAUUUCAGUUACAAUGAAAAGAAUUAUUAGUUUUU